UACGUGAGGGGCGAACGUUGUUCGGUGUCACUGGGCUUAAAGGGUGCGUAGGUGGUUGCGUAAGUAAGGUGUGAAAUCCCUCGGCUUACCCGGGGAAUUGCAUUUUAUACUGCGUGGCUUUGAGGACUAAAGGGGAAAAGGGAACUCCAGGUGUAGCGGUGAAAUGCGCAGAUAUCUGGGGGAAGGCCGGCGGCGAAGGCGCUUUUCUGGUUAGUACCUGGACACUGAGGCACGAAAGCGUGGGGAGCAAACAGGG
This 256-nucleotide ribosomal RNA is filed under the name uncultured bacterium. Its description in RNAcentral is "partial 16S ribosomal RNA". It matches the Rfam family "Bacterial small subunit ribosomal RNA", at positions 524 to 777 of the family's 1533-position model. The record is from RNAcentral.